AUUGAACGCUAGCGGGGUGCUUAACACAUGCAAGUCGAACGAGUGGCGGACGGGUGAGCAAUAUAUCUGAACGUGCCCAGUCGAGGGGGAUAAGUACUAGAAAGAGUGGCUAAAACCGCAUACUAUUGGCUCGGCCGAUAUCGGAUUAGCUAGUUGGGGGGGUAAAGGCUCACCAGGGCAACGAUCCGUAGCUGGUUUGAGAGGACGACCAGCCACACUGGGACUGGGACACGGCCCAGACUCCUACGGGAGGCAGCAGUGGGGAAUUUUGGACAAUGGUGGAAAGCCUGAUCCAGCCAUCCCGCGUGUAUGAGAAGGCCUUCGGGUUGUAAAGCACUGUUGGCAGAGAAGCGGUAUCUGCAGAAUAAGCACCGGCUAACUACGUGCCAGCAGCCGCGGUAAUAC
This 405-nucleotide ribosomal RNA is filed under the name uncultured bacterium. Its description in RNAcentral is "partial 16S ribosomal RNA". It matches the Rfam family "Bacterial small subunit ribosomal RNA", at positions 30 to 526 of the family's 1533-position model. The record is from RNAcentral.